AGCUCCUUGUCAUCCAGACAGAGGACCAGCUCUCUCUUCGGCAGGAGGAAGGCAAGAGGCUCCUGGACGAGACCGAUGUUCACAUGCCCAAGGUUUCCGUACUUGGAGAGCUGAGUGGGUGGAAUGCCUGACCCACAGGUCUGUGCUAUCUGAGCUGGUGGAAAAAGGACUUGGAGACAGCGAUUUAAAUAAGGAACAAGGUCUUCCAGGAAGACAGUGCAGAACUGGACAAAGAGCUCUUGCUCCUCACUGUUGAAAGCAGCCUCUUCUGCACGAUGGAAGGCCAGGAUUGUUUUGGUUACCUAGGAGACAGGGGCACCAUCAGUCACUAGACUAUCACCAUCAGUGGUACCUGAAACUAAGCACAAAUAUGCAGCCCUCAAGUUUUCAUAAAGAAAGUCAUUCCAAACAGUACAUUAUAUUACUGUCUUGUUUAAAUUCAGAAUUGUGGUCUCUCCACAGUUCUUUCGCUUCGUUGAUGUAUUUUUGACUCAAACCCAACUUGUUUCAUUACUGGCACACUUUCCACUUCUAGUGGAAGAGCAUCAAGGUUCUUGACUCCUACAGGAGAUGGACCACAACUAUAUUGGGUCCAGGAAAAUGAGGCAAAAUUAUAAAAUAUUUUUACUGAGUAAGGCUUCUGAGGUUCUAGGAAGCUAGACCGCUAAAAAAUUAUAAAAGAACACUGAGCUAAAAAAGAAGUUCCACAUUAAAAUAAAAGAGCAACCUAGCUGA
Long non-coding RNA from Mustela lutreola (European mink), 735 nucleotides. RefSeq lists it as uncharacterized. Lineage: Eukaryota; Metazoa; Chordata; Mammalia; Carnivora; Mustelidae. The record is from RefSeq and is a predicted model, not a curated record. The transcript has 2 exons.